GAUGAACGCUGGCGGCGUGCUUAACACAUGCAAGUCGAACGGGAUCCAUCAGGCUUUGCUUGGUGGUGAGAGUGGCGAACGGGUGAGUAAUGCGUGACCGACCUGCCCCAUACACCGGAAUAGCUCCUGGAAACGGGUGGUAAUGCCGGAUGCUCCGACUCCUCGCAUGGGGUGUCGGGAAAGAUUUCAUCGGUAUGGGAUGGGGUCGCGUCCUAUCAGGUAGUCGGCGGGGUAACGGCCCACCGAGCCUACGACGGGUAGCCGGCCUGAGAGGGCGACCGGCCACAUUGGGACUGAGAUACGGCCCAGACUCCUACGGGAGGCAGCAGUGGGGAAUAUUGCACAAUGGGCGCAAGCCUGAUGCAGCGACGCCGCGUGCGGGAUGACGGCCUUCGGGUUGUAAACCGCUUUUGAUCGGGAGCAAGCCUUCGGGUGAGUGUACCUUUCGAAUAAGCACCGGCUAACUACGUGCCAGCAGCCGCGGUAAUACGUAGGGUGCAAGCGUUAUCCGGAAUUAUUGGGCGUAAAGGGCUCGUAGGCGGUUCGUCGCGUCCGGUGUGAAAGUCCAUCGCUUAACGGUGGAUCUGCGCCGGGUACGGGCGGGCUGGAGUGCGGUAGGGGAGACUGGAAUUCCCGGUGUAACGGUGGAAUGUGUAGAUAUCGGGAAGAACACCAAUGGCGAAGGCAGGUCUCUGGGCCGUUACUGACGCUGAGGAGCGAAAGCGUGGGGAGCGAACAGGAUUAGAUACCCUGGUAGUCCACGCCGUAAACGGUGGAUGCUGGAUGUGGGGCCCGUUCCACGGGUUCCGUGUCGGAGCUAACGCGUUAAGCAUCCCGCCUGGGGAGUACGGCCGCAAGGCUAAAACUCAAAGAAAUUGACGGGGGCCCGCACAAGCGGCGGAGCAUGCGGAUUAAUUCGAUGCAACGCGAAGAACCUUACCUGGGCUUGACAUGUUCCCGACAGCCGUAGAGAUAUGGCCUCCCUUCGGGGCGGGUUCACAGGUGGUGCAUGGUCGUCGUCAGCUCGUGUCGUGAGAUGUUGGGUUAAGUCCCGCAACGAGCGCAACCCUCGCCCUGUGUUGCCAGCACGUCAUGGUGGGAACUCACGGGGGACCGCCGGGGUCAACUCGGAGGAAGGUGGGGAUGACGUCGGAUCAUCAUGCCCCUUACGUCCAGGGCUUCACGCAUGCUACAAUGGCCGGUACAACGGGAUGCGACACGGCGACGUGGAGCGGAUCCCUGAAAACCGGUCUCAGUUCGGAUUGGAGUCUGCAACCCGACUCCAUGAAGGCGGAGUCGCUAGUAAUCGCGGAUCAGCAACGCCGCGGUGAAUGCGUUCCCGGGCCU
RNAcentral lists this ribosomal RNA (1347 nucleotides) under uncultured bacterium. RNAcentral's name for it is "bacterial SSU rRNA". It matches the Rfam family "Bacterial small subunit ribosomal RNA", at positions 28 to 1381 of the family's 1533-position model. The record is from RNAcentral.